This 206-nucleotide ribosomal RNA is filed under the name uncultured bacterium. Its description in RNAcentral is "partial 16S ribosomal RNA". It matches the Rfam family "Bacterial small subunit ribosomal RNA", at positions 1287 to 1500 of the family's 1533-position model. The record is from RNAcentral.
CUCAGUUCGGAUCGGAGUCUGCAACCCGACUCCGUGAAGCUGGAUUCGCUAGUAAUCGCGCAUCAGCCAUGGCGCGGUGAAUACGUUCCCGGGCCUUGUACACACCGCCCGUCAAGCCAUGGAAGCCGGGAGUGCCUGAAGUGCGUGACCGCAAGGAGCGUCCUAAGGCAAUACCGGUGACUGGGGCUAAGUCGUAACAAGGUAAC